UGGUUCAGAUGUAAGAAAUCCAAAGGAUUUGAAUAUGGUGCUUUUGUGGAAAUGAUUUUGGAUGAUGCUUUUGUGGAAAUGAGCUGUAUGUGCUUUUAUUCUUGAGGCACAAAAUGCUAGGGUAUGACAUGUUGUUCGCUCUGGGGGCAGGAGAUAUUGGUCUUGGGAGUUAGAACAUUGUUGUUUCGGUUGUAGGUCUUGGGGAACUUCCAGGUUUAGAUUUAUGAUCAGAGAUGAUCAUGAGGAUCGUGUUACUCGGACAUUUGGAAUAGAAUUAUGCUUCUGACCAAUACUCUAGAUGUCCUCCUUUUCGCAGUUAAGGAGAGUGAUGGAGGAAGUUGUGUUUAAGGGCAUGUCCUGCUUGUGGAUUACAGUUUAUGGUCAUUAAUGAUGAAUAGGAUCUCACUGGUUUAUCUAAUGCAAGAUUCUUACCAUUCCAUCUGUAUCUCACUAGAAACAUGUUAUGAUUCUGUUUAGGGAGAUUUCAGGAUUUAAUACACAAGGCCAUUCCACAGAUUUAUGUAUUGGAGCUGAUUCUCUCUCCCUGAAGAUUGAUUGGAGUACUAUGGUAUUAUAAUCGUUUGAGUACAAUCCCUCCCUCCCGUUUGAGAGGUCCUUUUUUUUUUUUUGGAUGAAAAGGCAUAAUCUCCCUUCCUCCCGCUUGGGUGGUCUUUUUUUGGAUGAAAAGGCAUAAUCUCCCUCCCUCCUGUUUGGGUGGACUUUUUUUGGAUGAAAAAGGCAUCAUCUCAUUUGCUUGUGUGCUGUGAAGUUCUUUGCAGCACAUUUGGCUGUUGUUAAUGAUUCCAUUUGGUCACUUAUCACAACCUCAUUCCCAUCAAGCUGUUGUGUUUUUCCCUCUUUUGCAGUUAUCUUAAAAAGAAUGCUGUUCUUUCGUUGCUUUUCUGGCUAUGUUAUGAUGUUGUUAUGGAUUGAGAUUGUGCAAGGAGAUAAAAAUACCAGCACUAUAUAACCUUUGCUGUCUCCUGAAAGACGACAGUGAGAGUUCUCCUUGGAAUCCAUUUCUACAAAUGAUUCAUAGGUCGAGACCAUUUCCGUUCCAUUCUCUUGAUACGGUGGUGGUGGGUGGGGGCUGAUUCAGUAAUCCAAGGAGAAAGUCCCUGCAUGGAUGUGCAUGAGGAAAGAAAAAGAAGAAGAAAAAGAAAAGGUAAUAUGGCAUGUGCAGCAUGGAGGAAGAGAGCAGCAGUUAGUUGGGCCUCAUGGUUACUGAAGAUUGUUACCAUCUUCAUGAGAGAAGCAAAUUAUGUUACUGCACUGCAACAACAGAAGCUUGCAAGGAAAUGGCAUGGUUACAGGGUCUCAUAGAGGGGUCAGGUAAUAAGUAAGAAAAUUGUAAGUCAUACAGUGACAGUGAAAGCACAAUUUUGUAGCAGAAAGAGCACGGUAGGCUAUGUGUUCACUUUGCGUGGUGCAGCAGUUAGUUGAGCCUCACCAUUACAGAAGAUUGUUACCAUCUCCAUGAGAGAAGCAAAUUAUGUUACUGCACUGCAAUAGAAGCUUGCAAGGAAAUGGCGUGGUUACAAGGUCUCAUAGAUGGGUUGGGUAAGAAGUGAGAAAAUUGUAAGUUAUACAGUGACGGUGAAAGCACAAUUCACCUAAAAGAAUUCAGCCUUCCAUUUCAAGAAGUAAGCAUAUAAAUAGCAAAUAUAAUUUCA
This is a long non-coding RNA of Magnolia sinica, 1673 nucleotides long. RefSeq lists it as uncharacterized. The transcript has 2 exons. NCBI's taxonomy places the organism in Eukaryota, Viridiplantae, Streptophyta, Magnoliopsida, Magnoliales, Magnoliaceae. The record is from RefSeq and is a predicted model, not a curated record.